This 201-nucleotide long non-coding RNA is filed under the name Capsicum annuum. RNAcentral describes it as "long non-coding RNA (CANN_LNC014522)". The record is from RNAcentral. Lineage: Eukaryota; Viridiplantae; Streptophyta; Magnoliopsida; Solanales; Solanaceae.
UUAGUUGUUGAGUCCGUUUCUUUCGAGUCUUCGUUAUUUAUGUGCUUUUCUUAUUUUUUAACUCGUCGUAAAUUCUUUGUUUCAAGUUCGUAAGUAGAUUUUGUUUUGUGUCUUGAGUAGAUCAAACAAGAAUCUAUUCCGGCCGCCAAGUAGAAUUGACAUCUUAUUGACUACCGGAGUAUAAGCAACUUUCAAUAUUCG